Molecule: microRNA, 21 nt
Filed under: Homo sapiens (human)
Lineage: Eukaryota; Metazoa; Chordata; Mammalia; Primates; Hominidae
Description: hsa-miR-10396a-3p
Source: miRBase by way of RNAcentral
GGCCCCGGGCCCUCGACCGGG